AGGGUUCCAAAAUUAUUGUUAAGUGAAAAUAAGGUAGUGUUUAUCUAAGCCAACCAGGAAAUGGGCUUAGGAGCGGCCAUUUUUUAAAGACCUCGUAACAGAGCACUGGUUUUAUACAAUUUUGUAUUGUAUUGUUAGAUGCACCUAAAAUUUAACGGAUCUAAAUAAUAUACCGAGACCUUGUCCAUAAAUAUUUAUAUGUACAAGUUACAUAGAAUAUAUAUGGGGUAGCGGAACAUUGGGCAUAUUUCAGAUUUUUUCUUUUUAAGACUUAAGAUUAGAUUACCCAAGUGAUAAUGCUGACAUGAGUAACGAUAAAGGGUUUAUACCCUCGCCUAAAGCUUAUGGAAUUUACUUAAAGUAACGGCCUCUAGUUUAAAUUUGCUUUACUUACUGGGUUUUUUAGCUCUAAUCAAAAACGUGAUAAAGUAAAGUUACCUAAGGGUAUAAACGAUGAGAAAAAAAUUUUUUUGCUUUUUGAUAAAAAAAAAAAAAAAUCUAAGUUUACGGUGAAUAAGAAUGGAUACUUAUGGAAACACAUUGAACGCGUAAAGUUGAAAAGUGUGUUUAAGUUUCUCUAAAGAAAAAAAAAUAUUUAGUAGGUUUGACUAAACACACUAUAUAAAUAAAAACAGCUUGUGU
RNAcentral lists this ribosomal RNA (642 nucleotides) under Rhizocarpon geographicum. RNAcentral's name for it is "partial large subunit ribosomal RNA". The stretch from base 1 to 304 matches the Rfam family "Bacterial large subunit ribosomal RNA", at positions 1041 to 1301 of the family's 2925-position model. Lineage: Eukaryota; Fungi; Ascomycota; Lecanoromycetes; Rhizocarpales; Rhizocarpaceae. The record is from RNAcentral.